CAGCAGCCACGGGAAUACAGAGGGUGCAAGCGUUAAUCGGAAUUACUGGGCGUAAAGCGCGCGUAGGUGGUUUGUUAAGUUGGAUGUGAAAUCCCCGGGCUCAACCUGGGAACUGCAUCCAAAACUGGCAAGCUAGAGUAUGGUAGAGGGUGGUGGAAUUUCCUGUGUAGCGGUGAAAUGCGUAGAUAUAGGAAGGAACACCAGUGGCGAAGGCGACCACCUGGACUGAUACUGACACUGAGGUGCGAAAGCGUGGGGAGCAAACAGGAUUAGAGACCCGCGUAGUCCCUGUCUCUUAUAC
RNAcentral lists this ribosomal RNA (301 nucleotides) under uncultured bacterium. RNAcentral describes it as "partial 16S ribosomal RNA". It matches the Rfam family "Bacterial small subunit ribosomal RNA", at positions 509 to 807 of the family's 1533-position model. The record is from RNAcentral.